This 4535-nucleotide long non-coding RNA is filed under the name Mus musculus (house mouse). RNAcentral's name for it is "long non-coding RNA chr4:73775182-73779717". The record is from RNAcentral. Lineage: Eukaryota; Metazoa; Chordata; Mammalia; Rodentia; Muridae.
GGUGUCGUAAACCACAGGUUGAGAGCCACUACUCUAGCUAAUAUUUGAGAGUCUUUAAUGAAGGAAUUAAGUUAAAAUGAGAUCAUGUGGUGAAUUCUAACCCAGUCUUAGUAGUGGACUUCUAGGAAGAGGAGACUUGGACACAGAUAUAUAUAAAGAGGCCAUGUGUUGACAUAAGGGAAGAUAGCAGCUUUAAACCCAGAAAAAAAGGCACUAGGACAAACAACUCCUUCUGGUAACCUGGUGCUAGAGUUUUAGAUUCUACAGUUAUGAGAAUUUUCUGUUGUUUAAACUCACUGAAGUGUUUGAUGCUGGAAAUGCCUGGGCAACCCACAGGAUCGAAGGGCACAGAAACUGAAUGGCAGAAUUAAAAUUCUGUUUUGUGGUAAAGACACCAUAAUUAGCCACUAAUAUACUACCACUUCUCAUCUAUGUUAAAUACCUGUACUUUGAAACACUGUAUGACAUGAGUUACGUAUUAACUCUGUUGAUUAAUCAGGAAUUGCUAAAAAAAAAAAAAAAAAAAUCCAUGUUCCUUUAAAUUCUUUGUAACUUUUUAUUCUAGUUAAACUACUCAAUCUAUUCAGAGUCUAAUCAUGAUACUUUAAAAAAAAAAACCUGUUCAAGUUAAACAUUAUUAAUAAAGCCAUGGUAGUAAGUCACAUUAUAUGAUAACAUGCUAAAACUGUCAUCACCCCUCCCAUUAAAGCUCAGAACAAAUACUGGUUUCAAGAAUGAUCCACAUUAUUAGAUAAUAGUAAAUCACCAACAAAAAUGUCUUCUCUGACGUUGUCCCAAGACAUUUCAACACACAGCAGGACCAUUAUGACUUUACCUGUAUUAUUUAGAGUAACAGGAUACAAAAUCUAAAGACAUACAAUGUGGUGGGAAUCUAUCAGAGAAGUCAUUCUGUAGAGUCAUAUUUACCAGCUAACUGAACAACAAUGAAACACUGAGUUGCAGAAGUCACAACAGGUCCUUCACUUUCUGUAAAUGUUUAAAGUGGGAACAAAUAAUGAUAUGAAUUCACUUUGGUCGUUUUUUUUUUUUUUUUUUUUUGAUUCAUGCUUAGUGCAAAGUUCCAGGGAUAAUUUGUAGUGAAGUGUAUACAUAGAUUAAUCAUAAAAAAGAAUCCGUUAUUGAUAGAAAAUGUACAUGCUACACAAUUGACUAUUAUAUCAGAAUGACCUGUAUACUCAUUUGCUCUACUUCAUACACCAGGGACUUGUCUCAGGAGCAGCCAUGGGUUCAAUUCUUAGCACCACACAAACUGGAUGUGGUAGCACACACCAAUAUUCCCAGAACUCAGGAGGUGAAUGUAGGAUUGGAAAGCCAAGGCCAUCCUGGGCUAUAUAAUGAGUAAGGCCCUCGACUGGAUUCUAUAUGAUAUGGUCACAAAAGGAUCCCCCCAAAAGAGAGGUGGGGAGUCCAACUUAAUUCAUCUGGCUCAGUGUUUCUCUCUAGGCCAGAACUAGGUUUUCAUAUCACAGAAAAAAAAAAGAAGAAGAAGAAGAAAAAACUGAUCCCUCAGGAUAAGAGUUGAAUGUAUCUGUGAAUUCAUCAGAUGUUCUGAUGGCAUGACUUGAUGUCAUGAUAGUCUUUUGUUCCAGCAGUGUAUCAAAAAUCUGCCUCCCCAAGUAUACUCACUCUUGAUGUCAAAGGCUAAAAAAGCAGAGAAUAACCAGCUGCUGCACAGAGCUCUCAGUGUCAGGCACAGGGGUUCUUAGAAAGUGUCAGGUAGCUUCUAAGACUAGAAACAUGCUACUUUCUUAACUAUCAGGGGCUAGUCUGCACCAAUCACAUGUGCACUUGCCAAUGGAGAGAUCUUUAUAGAUGGGCUUAACAAACAUUAGGCAACAAUUAGGUAAAGAUUAGGCCAGGUGAUAUGUGUUAGUCAAGAUCAGUAAGUAAGUAAGUAGAUAGAUAGAUAGAUAGAUAGAUAGAUAGAUAGAUAGAUAGAUAGAUAGGAUCGAUAGAUAAAUGCGACUUCUGUGCUAAUAGAGCCAUUAACAAGGAAAGCAAUCUAAAGCAUGCCCAAGGUAUCAAAGGAGUGCCUGGGAGAAGGAACAAUGAACUACAGAUGAGUCGUAGACAUUUAAAACCUAAGCCUGUACUUCCUUUUAAGUUAAAAAAAAAGUCAAAACAUGAUUUGUAUGAAAGAUAGUAUUAAUGAUUUAUUACAAAUAAAAAAUUACAAUGUAAAAUGUUAAAAUGAUACUGGUGCACUAGCAUUUGUUUUUGGUUUUUGGUUUUGGUUUUUCGAGACAGGGUUUCUCGGUAUAGCCCUGGCUGUUCUGGAACUCACUCUGUAGACCAGGCUGGCCUCGAACUCAGAAACCCACCUGCCUCUGCCUCCCGAGUGCUGGGAUUAAAGGCGUGCACCACCACACCUGGCCGUGCACUAGCAUUUUAAGUUGCAAGUAUUACCAUUGAAGUUGAGAAAGAAGCUACAGAUCCUUAGAGGACAAAAAUCGAAUAGAGCAUGUAAAAUAUUUCAAAGGUCACACAUUUUUUAUAAAACAAACAUUUGACUUAGAUGACAUAUGCUUGUGUUUGCAUCUGUAGUGUCCUGGGGUUCCCCUGCAUAUGUCUACACACCUGGUUUUAGGACACUCCUACAGAAUAAUUAAAUGUGAUACCACAGCUCCAAAUAGAGGAACAGAGUGACCCAGAAGAACCAGAAGAGCUGCCUGGAAAACUGGCCUUCACGGUACAGUUCCCACAAACUUAUUUAGCAUUACACUAGAAAGCUGAACUGUAAUUGAAAAGACACAUUAUACAGAUCCUGAAUCUUUGUACAAAAUUACACUGGACUAAGUGAUAAAAGUUUAUUUUUAUUAUUCUAGUUAAGGAAUAUCACAGGAAAAAAAAAACUUGCAUUCUAACCCUAACAUCCAAGCACUGGAAAUUAACAUACUCAUGCAACUCAAGGGGUAUCAUGAGAUUCUGAGGGAAAAAAAAUCAGACUAAGUGCUAUCCUACACAAGCUUAUACAUAGUUGAAAAUUUUUGUGAUGCUAAGUCAGUACAGAGCAGGUGUGAUUGGGCGCAGUUAGUACUUGGAGCAUAUGAAGACACCAACCAGCAGACCUGGGCUUCCCUGGCUCUGAUCUGCUGCCGAAUGAUCACAGGAAGAUCUUCUGAAACUAUUAAAUCAUGGUCUAAUUUCCCAUGCCCAAAUAAGUCUCUGACAGUUAAAAAUCCAGAUGUGUUGCAGCAACAUAUUUUAAAUACCAAAGUACUUAUCUGGGCCUCAUUCUCCCAAAAGUUUUAAUGAGAGUUUCUGGAAAUGAGAAAAUUAACUAGAUUCACUCAAACAAAAGGAACAAUUCAAAAUGCAAAUGGCUUCCUAUUCAAAACCACUGACAUUUUGGGAGUUUGCCAAUGAAAACAGUAAAGUAGAAAGAACAGAAAGAGAUCUGCUGAAAGUUGAGAAGAGCCACUGUGUCUUCUGACAUUGUGGAUUAACAGAGAGUAGCAUGUGCAUCAGAGCUCAGGCAGACUUAAAUGAAUAUCCACCACCAUAGCUUUAUGUGCUAUAACCUUCCUUGCUUCAAUUCCUGCAUCCUCAGUGGGUCAAUGAGUUUAACAGUGGAACUAGCAGGUAUAUGUACUGUAAAGUCAAACCUUUACUGAUGUUCACAAUGGAAAUACUCUGUUUUCCUGUUCCUCUUUCACAAAAUAAUUAGAUUCAGAUAAGAGAAAGAUACAGACAGCUCCUUCAGAGCUCACAUAGUGUCCAGGAAAGCUGGGAUAUUAUAAGCAACAAGCACGGAGGGCAGGGAAAGGCUAUCCUGACCCUGAGCAACUGAGUAGUCAGAGCUGUCUACAUCUACAGUGAUUCAGUCAGUUGUCAUACUGUCAUACUGUUUAAAUUUACAAGUCAUGUGUUCAUUAAAUUAUAAUAUGUUUACAUUCCCCCAAUAAACCCUUCUGAUAUCAAUAGACUAAGAAAAACAAACAAAAACAUUUAUCUCUUAAUAAAACAACAAGCAUCACACUUCAACAGAAAUGUUCUGUUCUCUUAGUCCAAAGCAAUCAUAUUCACACAGAACAGUCAACUCCUAAUAUCCGCAAAUUUUAACUUAAUAAUCACAGUAACAAGAAUAGUCAUAACCAUAAUAUUCAUAAUGACCAUGUACCUAUCAACAGUGAAAGCAAUACUAUGAAUACAGCACAGCAGAAGAGAAUCACACUAAAAAAAGUCACUCCUCCAAAGAGAAUGAUACACAAACAUGGGGAUGGGUGGCCAGAGUCCACAUGGCUGAGAUGCCUCCUUAGUCCUGAGGAGCUGGGACUAUAAACACCUGCACUGUCCUAGAUAUCUUUAUAUAUCUCAGAAAUGAUAUUCUUUUUAGAAAACAUUUUAAAUGGAAUCAUAAAACUCCCUAUAAUAAAAGUAAUUUGUCAGAUUAGAAAAUAUUAUUCCAAUAAAAUUAUAUAAUUUAAAAUAUAUUAACUAUCCUGAUUUUCACUAUCUUGCCACUGUAACAGCAAGUAAACAUUAUGUCUGUACCUCUUAGUCAAGAGGUUUUG